This 484-nucleotide ribosomal RNA is filed under the name uncultured bacterium. RNAcentral's name for it is "partial 16S ribosomal RNA". It matches the Rfam family "Bacterial small subunit ribosomal RNA", at positions 30 to 507 of the family's 1533-position model. The record is from RNAcentral.
AUUGAACGCUGGCGGCAGGCCUAACACAUGCAAGUCGAGCGGAUGAAGGGAGCUUGCUCCUGGAUUCAGCGGCGGACGGGUGAGUAAUGCCUAGGAAUCUGCCUGGUAGUGGGGGAUAACGUCCGGAAACGGGCGCUAAUACCGCAUACGUCCUGAGGGAGAAAGUGGGGGAUCUUCGGACCUCACGCUAUCAGAUGAGCCUAGGUCGGAUUAGCUAGUUGGUGGGGUAAAGGCCUACCAAGGCGACGAUCCGUAACUGGUCUGAGAGGAUGAUCAGUCACACUGGAACUGAGGCACGGUCCAGGCUCCUACGGGGAGCAGCAGUGGGGAAUUUUGGACAAUGGGCGAAAGCCUGAUCCAGCCAUGGCGCGUGUGUUAAGAAGGGCUUCGGAUUUUAAAGCACUUUAAGGUGGGAGGAAGGGCAGUAAGUUAAUACCUUGCUGUUUUGACGUUACCAACAGAAUAAGCACCGGCUAACUUCGUG